RNAcentral lists this non-coding RNA (29 nucleotides) under Mus musculus (house mouse). The record is from RNAcentral. Lineage: Eukaryota; Metazoa; Chordata; Mammalia; Rodentia; Muridae.
UCCAUCAGUGAGUGAAAAUGAGGUCCAUA